This is a long non-coding RNA of Oreochromis aureus, 913 nucleotides long. The record is from Ensembl. NCBI's taxonomy places the organism in Eukaryota, Metazoa, Chordata, Actinopteri, Cichliformes, Cichlidae.
GGAUGAAUGAACCAUAAAAAAGUUUGGACAGUGGACUUCUUUUGCCUGCGUACAAAAUAUUAUCUCAGUGCAGCAGUGGCUUGUGGAUUUUUAAUUGUGGGAUGUUUGGUUUGUCAAACAAAAGGAAUGUGAGGGACAGAGUUUUUCUUUUUUAGAGGUACUUUUACAACAGGGAAGGUUUUUGUCGUUAGCAGAAACGCUCAAUAGACAGAAAAACAAACGCAGCCCUAAAAGAAAAUUACCGUGAAGUGAGGGAAACAGCCUUUCCUGCUCCGAUUGCUGACACACCGUGUGUACGGACAGAUAGGAAAAAACAAAAAACAGAUGAGAAAAACAUCGAGUUGACAACAAAUAACGCUUCUAAAUGAUUUUAUUACCGCGAGAGAUGAAACAGACAGCCGCUGGAUGGGGAUAAAAAGCGGGGAGGAACAAGCAUAUGCGCCGAUGCAGACACGGGCGAAUUCACGCAAGUGGACUACGGACCUGCACUUUUUCAGUUUUUGGAAAGGCACGGACAAUUUCAAAAUCCCUGCCAAAUAUAUUAGAGGUCAUUCACAAGUAUGCUGAACCCGGGACCAGUCUAAAGACCUACAGUAUUCACAAAGUGCAUGGCUUUUGGGAAAAUGUCUCAAGAGAUUUGGGAGUGCCUAAUACAUGUCUUAAUAGGAAAAAAAUUCUCAAAGCAGUCCUGCAGUAUGAAAAGGUAAGCAAUGUGGUAGAGGGUCCCUUGCUACAGACUGAUUUUCCUACUGCAGAGACAACACUUGGAGAUGAUGUUCCUUCCAUUAAUGAGGAAGACAUUGUUGUUGCGCCAAAGUCUCCACAAUCUGUAGGAAAUGUACCUUUACCUUCAAGAAAAGAGGAUGCACUUCAAAAACUGUAGAGAGCGGCAUCCAUACCCCAGACACACAAU